GACGAACGCUGGCGGCGUGCUUAACACAUGCAAGUCGAACGGAAAGGCCCUGCUUUUGUGGGGUGCUCGAGUGGCGAACGGGUGAGUAACACGUGAGUAACCUGCCCUUGACUUUGGGAUAACUUCAGGAAACUGGGGCUAAUACCGGAUAGGAGCUCCUGCUGCAUGGGGGGGGUUGGAAAGUUUCGGCGGUUGGGGAUGGACUCGCGGCUUAUCAGCUUGUUGGUGGGGUAGUGGCUUACCAAGGCUUUGACGGGUAGCCGGCCUGAGAGGGUGACCGGCCACAUUGGGACUGCGAUACGGACCAGACUCCUACGGGAGGCAGCAGUGGGGAAUAUUGCACAAUGGGCGGAAGCCUGAUGCAGCAACGCCGCGUGCGGGAUGACGGCCUUCGGGUUGUAAACCGCUUUCGCCUGUGACGAAGCGUGAGUGACGGUAAUGGGUAAAGAAGCACCGGCUAACUACGUG
RNAcentral lists this ribosomal RNA (468 nucleotides) under uncultured bacterium. RNAcentral describes it as "partial 16S ribosomal RNA". It matches the Rfam family "Bacterial small subunit ribosomal RNA", at positions 28 to 507 of the family's 1533-position model. The record is from RNAcentral.